ACUCCUACGGGAGGCAGCAGUGGGGAAUAUUGCACAAUGGGCGCAAGCCUGAUNCAGCCANGCCGCGUGUGUGAAGAAGGCCUUCGGGUUGUAAAGCACUUAUACAGUCAGGAGGUAAGAGGUUAGCUAGUUAAUACGCUGCUAGUCUGUGACGUUACUNACAGAANAAGCAUCCGGCUAACUCC
RNAcentral lists this ribosomal RNA (185 nucleotides) under uncultured Gammaproteobacteria bacterium. Its description in RNAcentral is "partial 16S ribosomal RNA". It matches the Rfam family "Bacterial small subunit ribosomal RNA", at positions 335 to 504 of the family's 1533-position model. Lineage: Bacteria; Pseudomonadati; Pseudomonadota; Gammaproteobacteria. The record is from RNAcentral.